AUAAAAGGAUGUCUCAUACUCCUUUUAUCUCGGUACCAGAAAAGCCCUGAACUUCUUAAAAAACAAAAACAAAAAAUGGCUAAAGGAGACUUCAAUGUGCCAUACCUUAUUGGGAUCGCUGGCCGCUUCCUUCCCAAAUCAGCUUCAAAGAGAAAGCCUUCCACAGCAAUAAAUAAAAAUUGUGCAAAUGUCACAAUGUUCCCGCAUCCUGGAUGCUUCCUGUGUAGUAAAUAUCAAAAAGGCAAAUAAGAUCUCAUAUCCCAUGGAUCACACACGACUAUCAACAGAGCUCACAGAGAAGAAUCCAAGCUUAUUUCACCCUUUCCUAGGUGUAGCAGGCCAGGAGUAAGAAUCACGCCAAUAACACUCGUUGUCAGAACUACGAUACAACUUUUCUAGUCAACUUGGGAAGUUGAUGAGGUAGUUAUUAUGCCCAUUGCACUGCUAAAGACACUGAGGGUCACAUGGCACUGACUCAGGUAAGUCUCCCAGAGCUACAGGGCAAAUAAGUGAUGUCUGCAGGCUCCCUUAUAUAACUGUUUACAAUUCAGUGGUUUUUAGUAUUUUCAGAGUUGUGCAGCUUACCAUUUUAGGGUAUCCCCCAAAGAAAUCCCAUACCCAUCCGGGUCCCUCUCCAUUGCCUCCUCCCUCCUCCCUUGACAACCCUAUUCUACUUUGUCUAUUCCCAUAGGAUUUAAAAAUAUCCCUAAUGUACUCACAUAAUUAAAAUUUUUUUUAAAGUCAUUUUAGAGAGCUCUUUUGGGGAACACGCUGUUGUAUGGCUACCAAUGGAACUAUUUGUUUUAACUUGAGUAAUUCAUUUUAAAACUUCAGUAUAAAAGCUUGUGGGUCCUUUUCUCUAAAUCACUUGUUUCCUUGAACUUUAACUUCUUAACAAUUAUAAUCAACUGCA
Molecule: long non-coding RNA, 913 nt
Organism: Canis lupus familiaris (dog)
Lineage: Eukaryota; Metazoa; Chordata; Mammalia; Carnivora; Canidae
Exons: 3
Source: RefSeq, a predicted model, not a curated record